Molecule: signal recognition particle RNA, 175 nt
Filed under: Enterococcus faecalis V583
Lineage: Bacteria; Bacillati; Bacillota; Bacilli; Lactobacillales; Enterococcaceae
Description: Ffs
Rfam family: Bacterial small signal recognition particle RNA (bases 7-93)
Source: RNAcentral
GCCGAAAGGCUAGGACAAUGGCGGGCUAGUGAAUUGUGUCAGAUCCGGAAGGAAGCAGCACUAAGCAAGUGCCGCCAUGUGUCUGAUUGAAUAAGGAACGUAUCAAGGCUGAGAAGCCUUUUUUAUUUUAUCUAAAAUUAAAAAGACAGGAAAGUUGGUCGCUUUCCUGUCUUUU